This 3116-nucleotide ribosomal RNA is filed under the name Listeria monocytogenes. RNAcentral's name for it is "bacterial LSU rRNA". It matches the Rfam family "Bacterial large subunit ribosomal RNA". Lineage: Bacteria; Bacillati; Bacillota; Bacilli; Caryophanales; Listeriaceae. The record is from RNAcentral.
UUGGUUAAGUUAGAAAGGGCGCACGGUGGAUGCCUUGGCACUAGGAGCCGAAGAAGGACGGGACUAACACCGAUAUGCUUUGGGGAGCUGUACGUAAGCGUUGAUCCAGAGAUUUCCGAAUGGGGGAACCCACUAUCUUUAGUCGGAUAGUAUCCUUACGUGAAUACAUAGCGUGAGGAAGGCAGACCCAGGGAACUGAAACAUCUAAGUACCUGGAGGAAGAGAAAGAAAAAUCGAUUUCCUGAGUAGCGGCGAGCGAAACGGAAAGAGCCCAAACCAAGAAGCUUGCUUCUUGGGGUUGUAGGACACUCUAUACGGAGUUACAAAAGAAAGUUAUAAAUGAAGCGGUCUGGAAAGGCCCGCCAAAGACGGUAACAGCCCGGUAGUUGAAAUGGCUUUCCCUCCAGAGUGGAUCCUGAGUACGGCGGAACACGUGAAAUUCCGUCGGAAUCCGGGAGGACCAUCUCCCAAGGCUAAAUACUCCCUAGUGACCGAUAGUGAACCAGUACCGUGAGGGAAAGGUGAAAAGCACCCCGGAAGGGGAGUGAAACAGUUCCUGAAACCGUGUGCCUACAAGUAGUUAGAGCCCGUUAAUGGGUGAUAGCGUGCCUUUUGUAGAAUGAACCGGCGAGUUACGAUUUGUUGCAAGGUUAAGCGGAAAAAGCGGAGCCGUAGCGAAAGCGAGUCUGAAUAGGGCGCAUAAGUAACAGGUCGUAGACCCGAAACCAGGUGAUCUACCCAUGUCCAGGAUGAAGGUAAGGUAAUACUUACUGGAGGUCCGAACCCACGCACGUUGAAAAGUGCGGGGAUGAGGUGUGGGUAGCGGAGAAAUUCCAAUCGAACUUGGAGAUAGCUGGUUCUCUCCGAAAUAGCUUUAGGGCUAGCCUCGAGGUAAAGAGUCAUGGAGGUAGAGCACUGUUUGGACUAGGGGCCCUUCUCGGGUUACCGAAUUCAGAUAAACUCCGAAUGCCAUGUACUUAUACUCGGGAGUCAGACUGCGAGUGAUAAGAUCCGUAGUCGAAAGGGAAACAGCCCAGACCACCAGUUAAGGUCCCCAAAUAUAUGUUAAGUGGAAAAGGAUGUGGGGUUGCUUAGACAACCAGGAUGUUGGCUUAGAAGCAGCCACCAUUGAAAGAGUGCGUAAUAGCUCACUGGUCGAGUGACCCCGCGCCGAAAAUGUACCGGGGCUAAACAUAUUACCGAAACUGUGGAUGAACCUCUUUAGAGGUUCGUGGUAGGAGAGCGUUCUAAGGGCGGUGAAGUCAGACCGGAAGGACUGGUGGAGCGCUUAGAAGUGAGAAUGCCGGUAUGAGUAGCGAAAGAAGGGUGAGAAUCCCUUCCACCGAAUAUCUAAGGUUUCCUGAGGAAGGCUCGUCCGCUCAGGGUUAGUCGGGACCUAAGCCGAGGCCGAUAGGCGUAGGCGAUGGACAACAGGUAGAGAUUCCUGUACCAGUGCUAAUUGUUUAACCGAUGGGGUGACACAGAAGGAUAGGGAAUCGCACGAAUGGAAAUGUGCGUCCAAGCAGUGAGUGUGAGAAGUAGGCAAAUCCGCUUCUCGCGAAGCAUGAGCUGUGAUGGGGAAGGAAAUUAAGUACGGAAGUUCCUGAUUUCACGCUGUCAAGAAAAGCCUCUAGGAAGAGUAGUACUGCCCGUACCGCAAACCGACACAGGUAGAUGAGGAGAGAAUCCUAAGGUGAGCGAGAGAACUCUCGUUAAGGAACUCGGCAAAAUGACCCCGUAACUUCGGGAGAAGGGGUGCUCUAUUAGGGUGCAAGCCCGAGAGAGCCGCAGUGAANCUCUCGUUAAGGAACUCGGCAAAAUGACCCCGUAACUUCGGGAGAAGGGGUGCUCUAUUAGGGUGCAAGCCCGAGAGAGCCGCAGUGAAUAGGCCCAGGCGACUGUUUAGCAAAAACACAGGUCUCUGCAAAACCGUAAGGUGACGUAUAGGGGCUGACGCCUGCCCGGUGCUGGAAGGUUAAGAGGAGUGCUUAGCUUCGGCGAAGGUACGAAUUGAAGCCCCAGUAAACGGCGGCCGUAACUAUAACGGUCCUAAGGUAGCGAAAUUCCUUGUCGGGUAAGUUCCGACCCGCACGAAAGGCGCAACGAUCUGGGCACUGUCUCAACGAGAGACUCGGUGAAAUUAUAGUACCUGUGAAGAUGCAGGUUACCCGCGACAGGACGGAAAGACCCCGUGGAGCUUUACUGCAACCNAACGAGAGACUCGGUGAAAUUAUAGUACCUGUGAAGAUGCAGGUUACCCGCGACAGGACGGAAAGACCCCGUGGAGCUUUACUGCAACCUGAUAUGGAAUGUUUGUACCGCUUGUACAGGAUAGGUAGGAGCCGAAGAGACGUGUGCGCUAGCAUACGAGGAGGCAAUGGUGGGAUACUACCCUGGCUGUAUGACCAUUCUAACCCGCCACGCUUAGCGCGUGGGGAGACAGUGUCAGGUGGGCAGUUUGACUGGGGCGGUCGCCUCCUAAAGAGUAACGGAGGCGCCCAAAGGUUCCCUCAGAAUGGAUGGAAAUCAUUCGCAGAGUGUAAAGGCACAAGGGAGCUUGACUGCGAGACUGACAAGUCGAGCAGGGACGAAAGUCGGGCUUAGUGAUCCGGUGGUUCCGCAUGGAAGGGCCAUCGCUCAACGGAUAAAAGCUACCCCGGGGAUAACAGGCUUAUCUCCCCCAAGAGUCCACAUCGACGGGGAGGUUUGGCACCUCGAUGUCGGCUCGUCGCAUCCUGGGGCUGUAGUCGGUCCCAAGGGUUGGGCUGUUCGCCCAUUAAAGCGGCACGCGAGCUGGGUUCAGAACGUCGUGAGACAGUUCGGUCCCUAUCCGUCGCGGGCGCAGGAAAUUUGAGAGGAGCUGUCCUUAGUACGAGAGGACCGGGAUGGACACACCGCUGGUGUACCAGUUGUUCCGCCAGGAGCAUCGCUGGGUAGCUAUGUGUGGCAGGGAUAAACGCUGAAAGCAUCUAAGCGUGAAGCCCCCCUCAAGAUGAGAUUUCCCAUUUCUUCGGAAAGUAAGAUCCCUGAAAGAUGAUCAGGUAGAUAGGUUUGGAGUGGAAGUGUAGCGAUACAUGGAGCGGACAAAUACUAAUCGAUCGAGGACUUAACCAAAA